GAUGAACGCUAGCGGAAGGCUUAAUACAUGCAAGUCGAGCGGUAGGUGGCUUCGGCCAUUGAGAGCGGCGCACGGGUGAGUAACGCGUACAUGACCUGCCUGUCAGAAGGGAUAGCCCUGGGAAACUGGGAUUAAUACCCUAUGGUAUUGAUAUUAUGAAUGAUAUCAAUUAAAGUUGAGGCGCUGACAGAUGGAUGUGCGUCUGAUUAGCUAGUUGGUAGGGUAACGGCCUACCAAGGCGACGAUCAGUAGGGGGCGUGAGAGCGUGGUCCCCCCACACGGGUACUGAGACACGGACCCGAUCCUACGGGAGGCAGCAGUAAGGAUAUUGGUCGAUGCCCGCAAGGGUGAACCAGCCAUUCCGCGUGGAGGAUGAAGGCCCUAUGGGUUGUAAACUUCUUUAGAUGGAAGAAAAUGCUAGAUGUAUCUGGUACUGACGGUACCAUCAGAAUAAG
RNAcentral lists this ribosomal RNA (455 nucleotides) under uncultured bacterium. RNAcentral describes it as "bacterial SSU rRNA". It matches the Rfam family "Bacterial small subunit ribosomal RNA", at positions 28 to 490 of the family's 1533-position model. The record is from RNAcentral.